ACCCCCAGCAAUGGGCAAAGAGACACUUUGUUGGUGGUGUUGUUCUUCUAUCAGUCAUGGGCACAGCAGAAGGCAGAUUUUGUUCAUCCUAGCUUGAUGCCUGGCUUGGUGGGCAUAGCUGUUUUAUGCCUGGGUUACAUAA
This is a small nucleolar RNA of Apodemus sylvaticus (European woodmouse), 142 nucleotides long. RefSeq annotates it as small nucleolar RNA SNORA48. The transcript has a single exon. The record is from RefSeq and is a predicted model, not a curated record. NCBI's taxonomy places the organism in Eukaryota, Metazoa, Chordata, Mammalia, Rodentia, Muridae.